RNA transcript from Fragaria vesca subsp. vesca, 830 nucleotides. RefSeq lists it as uncharacterized. The transcript has 2 exons. The record is from RefSeq and is a predicted model, not a curated record. Lineage: Eukaryota; Viridiplantae; Streptophyta; Magnoliopsida; Rosales; Rosaceae.
CCCUGCUCCUCCAGGUAUCUGCACUGCAUGUUCUUAAUGGCCACUCAAGAAGCUCUGCAGAAUAAAGGAUUUUGAUAUUCAAAGUCAUGAAGAAUGGACACUAGCAUAUACAUACAGGUUUCAGAUUUUAUAGAGUAUAUGCAUAUUGUUUGCAUAUCUUGCUGGUAGCAUAUGUGGAAUACAGUUGUUAUAUUUUGUAGUUCUGGAAACAGAAUAUAUUCUUUCUUAACUCAAUAUAGUAUGUUGUUUUUUGACCAUGCUUUGAAAUAGGAUAAGACAAAUAUUACAAUUGUGAGAUAAGUCAAAUCUUGUAAUCUUUUGUGAAAUUAAUUUCGUCCAGUGUUGCAACAAACAUGGGAUUGGACUAUUGUGAUUAUUCUACUCUUUAGUCCUAAGCAGUACCAAACAUGGGUCAAGAAUUAUUACAGCUUAAGCCAAGCUUAGACAGUCUAGGACUGUUUUAGAAAUUAGUCCUGCCUUAGGCAGUCCUGUGUAACAAACAUGCUGAUCAAUCUCACCUUAAUUGCAUUCUAUUUGUACAUGCCUUCUUGCAUGACUUUCAGUUACUUAUAUGUUUUACUAACUCCCAACCACUGCACUGCAUACCACCUUAUAAUAUUAGUAAAACUUUGUUAGAGUAUUUUGAUUAUGAGAUGUUGGAGGUUGUUAAAAUUAAAAUUAAACCUAUCAUUAAUACCUAAUCUUACCUCACCUCAGUUGGGGAGGCCUCGUAUUCAAUAUUAGAAGAAUUGCUGUCAACUAAUAAAAUAGAAUCUAUUCUAAACCAAAAAACAAAACAAAAAAACUAAUAAAAUAGAAUCUAAUUUUUC